RNAcentral lists this ribosomal RNA (123 nucleotides) under Pleosporales sp. Its description in RNAcentral is "partial small subunit ribosomal RNA". It matches the Rfam family "Eukaryotic small subunit ribosomal RNA", at positions 1659 to 1779 of the family's 1831-position model. Lineage: Eukaryota; Fungi; Ascomycota; Dothideomycetes; Pleosporales. The record is from RNAcentral.
UUUGUACACACCGCCCGUCGCUACUACCGAUUGAAUGGCUAAGUGAGGCUUUCGGACUGCCUUAGGGAGGGUGGCAACGACCACCUUGAGCCGGAAAGUUCGUCAAACUCGGUCAUUUAGAGG